This 391-nucleotide unclassified non-coding RNA is filed under the name soil metagenome. RNAcentral describes it as "partial contains 5.8S ribosomal RNA, internal transcribed spacer 2, and large subunit ribosomal RNA". The stretch from base 1 to 122 matches the Rfam family "5.8S ribosomal RNA", at positions 35 to 154 of the family's 154-position model. The record is from RNAcentral.
GAUGAAGAACGUAGCGAAAUGCGAUACUUGGUGUGAAUUGCAGAAUCCCGUGAACCAUCGAGUCUUUGAACGCAAGUUGCGCCCGAAGCCACUAGGCCGAGGGCACGCCUGCCUGGGCAUCACACGUCGUUGCCCCCCCAUCUACUCCUUCGGGAUUGCGGGGGGGCGGAUGAUGGCCUCCCGUGCGCCUAGCCGCGCGGUUGGCAUAAAUACCAAGUCCUCGGCGACGCACGCCACGACAAUCGGUGGUUGCGAAACCUCGGUUGCCCGUCGUGUGCGUUCGUCGCGCAUCGAGGGCUCGAAAAAAUGCUCGGCUUCGGCUCGGCUUUCAACGCGACCCCAGGUCAGGCGGGGUUACCCGCUGAAUUUAAGCAUAUCAAUAAGCGGAGGA